This 1124-nucleotide ribosomal RNA is filed under the name uncultured archaeon. RNAcentral's name for it is "bacterial SSU rRNA". It matches the Rfam family "Archaeal small subunit ribosomal RNA", at positions 323 to 1448 of the family's 1478-position model. The record is from RNAcentral.
CUAUGGGGCGCAGCAGGCGAGAAAACUUUGCAAUGUGCGAAAGCACGACAAGGUUAAUCCGAGUGGUUUCUGCUAAAGGAACCUUUUGUCAGUCCUAGAAACACUGAUGAAUAAGGGGUGGGCAAGUUCUGGUGUCAGCCGCCGCGGUAAAACCAGCACCUCAAGUGGUCAGGAUGAUUAUUGGGCCUAAAGCAUCCGUAGCCGGCUCUGUAAGUUUUCGGUUAAAUCUGUACGCUCAACGUACAGGCUGCCGGGAAUACUGCAGAGCUAGGGAGUGGGAGAGGUAGACGGUACUCGGUAGGAAGGGGUAAAAUCCUUUGAUCUAUUGAUGACCACCUGUGGCGAAGGCGGUCUACCAGAACACGUCCGACGGUGAGGGAUGAAAGCUGGGGGAGCAAACCGGAUUAGAUACCCGGGUAGUCCCAGCUGUAAACUAUGCAAACUCAGUGAUGCAUUGGCUUGUGGCCAAUGCAGUGCUGCAGGGAAGCCGUUAAGUUUGCCGCCUGGGAAGUACGUGCGCAAGUAUGAAACUUAAAGGAAUUGGCGGGGGAGCACCACAAGGGGUGAAGCCUGCGGUUCAAUUGGAGUCAACGCCAGAAAUCUUACCCGGAGAGACAGCAGAAUGAAGGUCAAGCUAAAGACUUUACCAGACAAGCUGAGAGGUGGUGCAUGGCCGUCGCCAGCUCGUGCCGUGAGAUGUCCUGUUAAGUCAGGUAACGAGCGAGAUCCCUGCCUCUAGUUGCCACCAUUACUCUCAGGAGUAGUGGGGCGAAUUAGCGGGACCGCCGCAGUUAAUGCGGAGGAAGGAAGGGGCCACGGCAGGUCAGUAUGCCCCGAAACUCUGGGGCCACACGCGGGCUGCAAUGGUAACGACAAUUGGUUUCAAAUCCGAAAGGAUGAGGUAAUCCUCAAACGUUACCACAGUUAUGACUGAGGGCUGCAACUCGCCCUCACGAAUAUGGAAUCCCUAGUAACUGCGUGUCAUUAUCGCGCGGUGAAUACGUCCCUGCUCCUUGCACACACCGCCCGUCGUUUCAUUGAAGUGAGCUUUUAGCGAGGUGACGUCUAAUUGGCGUUAUCGAACUUGAGGUUCGUGACAAGGGAAAAGUCGUAACAAGGUAACC